AUGCAACUUGUGACGAGCGGUCGUACUGCCGUUAAUAUCAAUGGGGAAAUUGGUCCCUAUUUCACUACGGGACAAGGUGUCCAGCAAGGGGACCCAAUUUCCCCCUUCCUUUUCAACCUUGUGGUUGAUGCGUUAGCCUUGAUUCUUGACUUGGCAAGGCAGGUAGGCCACAUCAGGGGGAUUUGCCCCCACCUUGUGGCCAAUGGAGGCCUGACCCAUCUCCAAUAUGCUGACGACACCAUUAUGAUGGUGGAGGGUUCGGAUGAGGAUAUCCGGAACCUCAAAUUUCUCCUCCUUUGUUUUCAGGAAAUCUCAGGCCUCACGAUCAACUUUGCCAAAAGUGAGGUCAUGGUGCUCGGGUAUUCCCCGUCGGAAGCCUAGCACAUUGCCAACCGCUUGAACUGUCGGUUGGGGUCAUUUCCGACUACUUACCUGGGCUUGCCGGUUAGUGAUAACCGUCUACUAGAGAAAGAUUUCCACCCGAUAGUUGCCAGGCUC
RNAcentral lists this ribosomal RNA (498 nucleotides) under Triticum aestivum (bread wheat). RNAcentral describes it as "partial small subunit ribosomal RNA". Lineage: Eukaryota; Viridiplantae; Streptophyta; Magnoliopsida; Poales; Poaceae. The record is from RNAcentral.